RNAcentral lists this unclassified non-coding RNA (396 nucleotides) under soil metagenome. RNAcentral describes it as "partial contains 5.8S ribosomal RNA, internal transcribed spacer 2, and large subunit ribosomal RNA". The stretch from base 1 to 122 matches the Rfam family "5.8S ribosomal RNA", at positions 35 to 154 of the family's 154-position model. The record is from RNAcentral.
GAUGAAGAACGCAGCGAAAUGCGAUACUUGGUGUGAAUUGCAGAAUCCCGUGAACCAUCGAGUCUUUGAACGCAAGUUGCGCCCGAAGCCAUCAGGUUGAGGGCACGUCUGCCUGGGCGUCACAUAUCGUUGCCCAAUGCCUAUUGCAGUGCAAUAGGAAUUUCUAGGGCGAAUGAUGGCUUCCCGUGAGCGUUGUUGCCUCGCGGUUGGUUGAAAAUCGAGUCCUUGGUAGGGUGUGCCAUGGUAGAUGGUGGUCGAGUUAGAACGAUACCGAUCAUGUGCAUGCUCCCCAAAAAUAUGGCCUCUAUGACCCACACGCGUCUUUUGACGCUCAUGACGAGACCUCAGGUCAGGCGGGGCUACCCGCUGAAUUUAAGCAUAUCAAUAAGCGGAGGA